UACGGAAGGCAGCAGUGGGGAAUAUUGCACAAUGGGCGCAAGCCUGAUGCAGCCAUGCCGCGUGUAUGAAGAAGGCCUUCGGGUUGUAAAGUACUUUCAGUCGUGAGGAAGGUGUUAAGGUUAAUAACCUUAGCAAUUGACGUUAGCGACAGAAGAAGCACCGGCUAACUCCGUGCCAGCAGCCGCGGUAAUACGGAGGGUGCGAGCGUUAAUCGGAAUUACUGGGCGUAAAGGGCACGCAGGCGGUUAAUUAAGUUGGGAUGUGAAAUCCCCGGGCUUAACCUGGGAAUGGCAUUCAAGACUGGUUAGCUAGAGUCUUGUAGAGGGGGGUAGAAUUCCAUGUGUAGCGGUGAAAUGCGUAGAGAUGUGGAGGAAUACCGGUGGCGAAGGCGGCCCCUGGACAAAGACUGACGCUCAUGUGCGAAAGCGUGGGGAGCAAACAGGGAUUAGAUACC
Molecule: ribosomal RNA, 455 nt
Filed under: uncultured bacterium
Lineage: Bacteria
Description: bacterial SSU rRNA
Rfam family: Bacterial small subunit ribosomal RNA
Source: RNAcentral